AGUGAACGCUGGCGGUAGGCCUAACACAUGCAAGUCGAACGGCAGCACAGUAAGAGCUUGCUCUUACGGGUGGCGAGUGGCGGACGGGUGAGGAAUACAUCGGAAUCUACUUUUUCGUGGGGGAUAACGUAGGGAAACUUACGCUAAUACCGCAUACGACCUACGGGUGAAAGCAGGGGAUCUUCGGACCUUGCGCGAUUGAAUGAGCCGAUGUCGGAUUAGCUAGUUGGCGGGGUAAAGGCCCACCAAGGCGACGAUCCGUAGCUGGUCUGAGAGGAUGGUCGGCCACACUGGAACGGAGACACGGUCCAGACUCCUACGGGAGGGAGCAGUGGGGAAUAUUGGACAAUGGGCGCAAGCCUGGUCCAGCCAUACCGAGUGGGUGAAGGAGGCCUUCGGGUUGUAAAGCCCUUUUGUUGGGAAAGAAAAGCAGCAGGUUAAUACCCCGCUGUUCUGACGGUACCCAAAGAAUAAGCACCGGCUAACUUCGUG
Molecule: ribosomal RNA, 492 nt
Filed under: uncultured bacterium
Lineage: Bacteria
Description: partial 16S ribosomal RNA
Rfam family: Bacterial small subunit ribosomal RNA
Source: RNAcentral